AGCAACAAUUUUAUUGUUAAUGGUUAAUAAAUAUAAUUCUAUGUAUUAUUAUUGAGAAUUAUUCAAUUUUAUUUAUUCAAAUUGAUGAUAAAACAAGAAUUAAUUAUGUUUACUUUUCUAAAUAGAAUCACUAGGUCUUUAUGUUGGUGGACUUUUGAUUGGCUUCUGCAAAACCAUAAAAUUAUUUUAGAAUCUAGUUUUCUAAAAUAAUGUCUUUAGUUAUGGCUGAUUAGUCUUGAGGAAUCUGGAUCCAAAGGUAUAGACAUAAGAACUACUACUAAAGGGCUAGUGACCAAGCAAGCAUUUCAUUACAGAGCUGAAAAUGUGGCAUACCUCUAUGAUACUUAAUAUUUAUUUGCAGGUGAUAGUAAUCAUCAGUUUUGUGGCUCCAUAAUAUCCUUCAACUUCCUUUGCCAGUGUCAUCUAUAUCUUGAAAUUUGUUUCCAUAACCUUGAUACCAUCAUUCUUGACAUAUUAAUUUCCUGGCUAUAUCAGCUUGAUUCAGUCCUAACUAUACCUAACCAAUAGCACACCGUUACAAAGAAUCGGCUAAAUGAUAUGUAUUAAACAUUUUCUAAGAUUUGGUUAUUCCAGAAUUACAGAUAAAAGUUCCAGUAAUGAAAAACGAGCUGGGACCAUAAAUGUUAAAGCAACUUUCAAUUUGCAUAUUGACAAUAGCAUAAGACAUUUUAAAUAUUAUUUACAUAUUCUGCAUGCUUUUAAAACCACUAUCAUUUUCAGAUUUUUCUUUUUUAGUUUAUAGAUAGUCCUCGACUUAUAACUAUUAGUAUU
Molecule: long non-coding RNA, 792 nt
Filed under: Androctonus crassicauda
Lineage: Eukaryota; Metazoa; Arthropoda; Arachnida; Scorpiones; Buthidae
Source: RNAcentral